Molecule: ribosomal RNA, 353 nt
Filed under: uncultured bacterium
Lineage: Bacteria
Description: bacterial SSU rRNA
Rfam family: Bacterial small subunit ribosomal RNA
Source: RNAcentral
AGAGUUUGAUCCUGGCUCAGGAUGAACGCUAGCGACAGGCCUAACACAUGCAAGUCGAGGGGCAGCAUGGUAUCAGCUUGCUGAUACCGAUGGCGACCGGCGCACGGGUGAGUAACGCGUAUGUAAUCUACCUGUAACAGAGGGAUAACCCGGAGAAAUCCGGACUAAUACCUCAUAGCACAUAUUAUUCGCAUGAGUUUUAUGUUAAAGAGACUCGGUUACAGAUGAACAUGCGUUCCAUUAGCUGGUUGGCGGGGUAACGGCCCACCAAGGCAACGAUGGAUAGGGGUUCUGAGAGGAAGGUCCCCCACACUGGUACUGAGACACGGACCAGACUCCUACGGGAGGCAGUA